GGGUGCUACUAAGGGGUACGUGAAUAAACAUUUAAAACAAUUAGCGCCUAACGUUCUCAAUUACUAGUGGACCUGAAUGCCUCACGGCGCAAUCGAGAACGAAGCAGAAAAAAAGGAAGGACACAGCACACGAUGUUGCUCUGUGUGCAUCUUAUGAACAAAUAAAGUCUGUAAAUGACAUUUGUGGCGCCCCCCAUGGGUUGUGGUGAAAAUACUUUGGAAGACAUUCCUGCAUACAGUCCUCCUGUGGUAGGUGGUGAGGCUGUGACGAGCUGAGCUGAGCCGAGCGUCAAGCGGCGGAGGCUCUAUCGCGUCAACCCUGCGAAUGCUGGAAAUGGCACCGGUGUUCCCUGACAGCAGCAGCCUGCCUCCCUCUCUCUCGCUCUCUACCCUUCUCUCUCUCUCUCGCCUGCUCUCUAGCUCGCCCCCCACCUCUGCAUGUCUCCUGCCAUGUUGAGUGCGUGCAGGACGAGGAGUGGGGGGUGGAGGGACGUGAUGGGGACUCAGGGGGAUAAGAAAGCAAUUAGAAGACAGCGCCGCUUCCUUCCA
Molecule: long non-coding RNA, 549 nt
Organism: Dunckerocampus dactyliophorus (ringed pipefish)
Lineage: Eukaryota; Metazoa; Chordata; Actinopteri; Syngnathiformes; Syngnathidae
Exons: 3
Source: RefSeq, a predicted model, not a curated record